Molecule: non-coding RNA, 651 nt
Organism: Macaca mulatta (Rhesus monkey)
Lineage: Eukaryota; Metazoa; Chordata; Mammalia; Primates; Cercopithecidae
Source: RefSeq, a predicted model, not a curated record
CCUCUCCCCUCCGCCUUAGGACAUCUGUCCACAGUGCAGCCAGGAACUGUGUGGGAGCCUAAUGACUGCCUGGGAGCUGCCUGGGGCUGUAGAGAUCAUCUGGGCCAACCACUGAAUAUUCGGACAGGGAAACUGAGGUCCAGAGAGAGAAGGAGCAAGAAUGAACCGCUGCAUCCUCCAUCUUGAACUGAAAAGCUGCCGAGGUUGGGCCAUCCCCAGCAGGAGCAUCCCCCGGCUACAGGAGAGCAGGGGCGAGACCUACCCAGAAGACAGAAGAGGCAGGUGUGGGCCUGUGUGAGUGCAGAACAUGGGGGAAAUGGCAGUAAGACCCCCUCCAGAUGUUACAAAAAUAAUUCUGACCUACAGUUUUGUGCAUUGUUUCUGGAAAGUAGUCAGCAGAAGAUCUAUAGCAAAGAAUACCAAACAAUACUAAUCAGGCACGAUUUGUGCUGAGCUACAAGCCAUUUGGAAAAUGUCUUGAACAAUGAGACUUUAAACAAAAUCCACACUGAUGUUCAAAGAGUAGAAAAUGCCAAGCCACUGCUCAGUGAGAACGGGCAUUGUUCCGUACCUCCAGCAGCCUAGAAAGGAGAGGGAAUUCACCUCGCAAGGGUUUCGUAUCAUGAAAUAAAUCAUCUCCCACAUGCCUUG